UAUACAUUGACAGAACUUACAGUAUUAUUUGAAGACAGUGGGCAUUGACAGAAUUUCAUCCUCCAGCGGCGGAGCUUGGCAGGGGCGGCGGCGCUGUGAGGUGCAGCCCAUGGGGAAGGUGAGGGGCGGCCAGAUCCGCGGGUGCUGGCGACAAACGACGGCCUGGUCGGGCGCUCGGUGAGGCAGAGGCGCGGGGGCACAGCUGCGCAGGGAGGCUGCCGGUAGGCUCGAUUUGGAAAUCAAGGAGAGGACUGGGUGGAUGGAUUUUUGGAUCGGGGGGAUCCCGAUGGGAGGAGGGUAGGCGGUGGUGGCGCUCGACGGCGGGGUGUGUCCGGCGGCGCGCGGUGAGGGCAGGGUAGGAGGUGGUGUUGCGCUGCCGGUGGAGAUGAGAUUGGGAGGCCGGGACGUGCGUGG
RNAcentral lists this ribosomal RNA (414 nucleotides) under Triticum aestivum (bread wheat). RNAcentral describes it as "partial small subunit ribosomal RNA". Lineage: Eukaryota; Viridiplantae; Streptophyta; Magnoliopsida; Poales; Poaceae. The record is from RNAcentral.